CCUACGGGAGGCAGCAGUGAGGAAUAUUGGGCAAUGGAGGCAACCCUGACCCAGCCAUGCCGCGUGAGUGAAGAAGGUUCUCGGAUUGUAAAGCCCUUUCGGCUGUGACGAUGAUGACGGUACCAUCUAAAGAAGCACCGGCUAACUUCGUGCCAGCAGCCGCGGUAAUACGCAGGGGGCAAGCGUUGUUCGGAAUUACUGGGCGUAAAGGGAGUGUAGGCGGUUUAGUAAGUUAGUGGUGAAAUCCCAGAGCUUAACUUUGGAAGUGCCAUUGUAACUCGUAGACUAGAGUUACAGAGAGGAGAGUGGAAUGCGCGGUGUAGAGGUGAAAUGCGUAGAUAUUGGGUAGAACACCGGUGGCGAAGGCGGCUAACUGGCUGUACAUUGACGCUGAGGCACGAAAGCGUGGGGAUCAAACAGGAUUAGAUACCCGAGUAGUC
This 440-nucleotide ribosomal RNA is filed under the name uncultured bacterium. Its description in RNAcentral is "partial 16S ribosomal RNA". It matches the Rfam family "Bacterial small subunit ribosomal RNA", at positions 338 to 795 of the family's 1533-position model. The record is from RNAcentral.